RNAcentral lists this ribosomal RNA (405 nucleotides) under Goniobranchus aureopurpureus. Its description in RNAcentral is "partial 16S ribosomal RNA". It matches the Rfam family "Bacterial large subunit ribosomal RNA", at positions 1926 to 2607 of the family's 2925-position model. Lineage: Eukaryota; Metazoa; Mollusca; Gastropoda; Nudibranchia; Chromodorididae. The record is from RNAcentral.
AAUGGCCGCGGUACUUUGACCGUGCUAAGGUAGCGCAAUCAAUUGGCUCUUAAUUGGGGUCAGGAAUGAAUGGAGUCACGUGGUCCAGCUGUCUCUUUACUAAUUAAUUGAAGUUACUAUGUAGGUGAAAAAGCCUAUAAAAAGAAAAAGGACGAGAAGACCCUUAGAGUUUUACCUAAGAUAAAUAAAUAAAAAUCAAAUUAGAACGGUUUUGUUGGGGCAACAUAGGAGCAAAUUUAAUCUCCUAGAAGAAACACAUCGAAGAGCUAAAGUUGAAUAAACUACCUUAGGGAUAACAGCAUAAUUUUAUAAAUAAGUUUGUGACCUCGAUGUUGGACUAGGAAACCUAAAGGCUAGCCGUCUUUAGGGAAAGUUCUGUUCGAACUAUUAUUCCUACAUGAUCUU